This is a non-coding RNA of Halocaridina rubra (Hawaiian volcano shrimp), 73 nucleotides long. NCBI's taxonomy places the organism in Eukaryota, Metazoa, Arthropoda, Malacostraca, Decapoda, Atyidae. The record is from the annotation of a GenBank genome assembly.
AGACCUGUGGUGUAGUUGGUAGCACUUUAGCUUAGUAAGUACAAGUCCCAGGUUCAAGUCCCAGGUAGGGUAA